ACCAGAAGCAGAGGCUGGCACCAUGUUUGUUAUGCAGCCUGCAGAACCGCUGGGGACAGCUCUCUGAAAAUAGGAAUAAAUAGUGGCUCCUCGAUAAACACCUUCUUGCCUACAGCAUGUGUGACUGCAAACACAUUCCCACUUCAACUAAUCCAAGACGAGAAGGAUGACAAAAUAAGAGAAAUCAUGGGAAAAACUGCCCAUUUCUGUUUUGUCCACUUUGCUUUGGGAAGUGAGAGCUAUAGUCAUUAUCACCACAUCCCCUGGCAUCCAAUUCCACAUUCUACCUCAGAAGUUAUUUGGAGGAAUCCAAGGACUUAGAUAUUUUACCAAUGUCUCUGGUGAUUUUUAUAUCGGUGGCCCAUGGGUGUUGACCUAUGAAACUGCUCUGCAGCAGAUAUUGAGAAAUAGGAGUUCAGGAUUAAUAAUUCAAUUCCAGCUUUCCUGGAAGCCAGAAGUCAAAAUAUACUUGGGAUUUCUAUAAAUAUUUUUUAAUUAUGACCAUCGAACUCCAAGUACUUCAGAUUUGGAACUCGGACUGCUUUCCUUGCUCCUCAGCCUGCAGAUGGCCUAUUGUGGGACCUUGUGAUUAUGUAGUGAGACGAGCAUGAGUGGAGCAGGAGACGGCUGUCCCCCACCCACAAGGAAUAUCAGAUGAUGGUUCAGCGAUCAUCACAUUGCCUCUCUGAAAGUGAUAAAUUGGCAGCUGGCACCAGGGAGAGGCUAUUUCCUGAUGGCCCACACCUGUUGCACUAAGAUGUUAAUCGAAUGCAGAUUCCAGGGAGAAACAACUUCCUGGGCAUGUGCGUAAGAGACAAAAUGGCAGGUAUGACCUUCUGGGGACACUCCACCAGAAAAGGGAAGAAAACCUCAGAUGGGCAUGCAUAUAACUUCCUAAACACACUGCUCACACUCUCCUCCCAAGGGUAAGGAGGGCACUGCACAUGCAGGCAGCCCAUCCUAAGGGAAGCAUCCUGGGAAAGGGGUCAGUCUAUAUGGUUCUGGGAUCAAGAUUAAACACCACAUUAGACCUUCAAGUUGCCCACUUGGGUCUCUUCUAUGUGUAUUUUUCUUUCCUUUCUUUUCUGCUCUAAAGCUUUUUUAAAUAAACAUACACAUCCCUCCUCUGAAA
RNAcentral lists this long non-coding RNA (1132 nucleotides) under Homo sapiens (human). RNAcentral's name for it is "long intergenic non-protein coding RNA 2232". The record is from RNAcentral. Lineage: Eukaryota; Metazoa; Chordata; Mammalia; Primates; Hominidae.